Marinobacter nanhaiticus D15-8W is the source of this 60-nucleotide non-coding RNA. The record is from Rfam. Lineage: Bacteria; Pseudomonadati; Pseudomonadota; Gammaproteobacteria; Pseudomonadales; Marinobacteraceae.
CACCGGAGUAGAAGCGGCAGGCGGCGGCUAUGAAGUUCGCCGCCAGGCAUUGCUCCAAUG